Molecule: long non-coding RNA, 1755 nt
Filed under: Malus domestica (apple)
Lineage: Eukaryota; Viridiplantae; Streptophyta; Magnoliopsida; Rosales; Rosaceae
Description: long non-coding RNA (MDOM_LNC010004)
Source: RNAcentral
UAUCAUUAAAACUCCAAAUUUUCAAGCUCUUUUCAUUAGUUUUUUUUUUUUUCAAUGUGUAGUGCAUGGGGAACAAGAUAAAUAAAAACUCAUCCUCUCCUUUCCUUUUUAGCCUGCAUCUUUUUAGUUCUUUUUAUUUUUCUUUCUACUGCGGGUUCAACAGUGCAGAGUUCCAUGCCUUUUUGCGGCUACUACUGCCCAGUGGGGCUCGAGUGUUUUCUUGUGUUUUUUACCACCAAAACUUUUCAUCAUAAGAAAAGAAAUACACGUUUCUAAUUUUUGUAUUAUUUUUAGACAAAAUGAUGUCUGAGAUAAGUAUAACUUCCCAUUUUAAUAUCUAAAAAACGACAGAAAUAGUCCAUGAGCUGUAAGUGUUCUAUUUUACUUCUUGUCGUCAAAUCUGUCAAAUUUGACAAGCGAGGAGCCCGUCCUUACUGUACAUGCGGCGCAAAAACACAACUUGUGAGCAUAUGUUGGGUCAAAAUGCCUUUUGAUGAGAUAAAGUGGAAUUCGCACACUUCAAGCGACAAACACAAGCAAAACAGGAAACCAUAAACAGUAACAAACGACCCGUCAUUGUCAACUAAGUCAAGUUUUACACAGUUUUCUCAAGUUAUAUACAUGCCCUACACACAGUAAGUACAACGAGCAACUUGAGCUAAGCUAGUUUCUUCAAUGGAGGCGUCUAGAUGAUUUAGCGACCUAGAGAAAAGAGAUGAAUAUGGACAUCCGUAAACUUGGCCUCCAACACGACAUUAAGGCGACUACACUAAACAGUAACUCCCUAUUGCCUGACAACAUUAACCAGAAACACAACCGGUGGUGGGUAUUACAAACCAUGCUAAAGGAGGUUACUCGGGAUCACCCUCUGCAUCCUGAAAGCUGAACUCUCUAUGUGAACCUAGCUUGAGUAAUACCAUUCCUCGAUUCUCUUCCCUCCAUUGAAUACCUUCAUUCUCAGCAAGUUCGAUGACCUACACAAAGCAAGCGGUAAGAAAAAUAUUGAACGAAGCUUAUAUUUAUAAAGUUGAGAGAUCAAAUAAUCGAAUUAAAGAAACCAAGAUAUACUUUGGACAGUUCUAAGAUUUCUUCUUACAAUGUUUCCAUAACAAGAUGGGAAGGUAAAAUUUAAAGAUCAUUACUUUCAUUUACUACGCUAUAGCCAAAUACCCCCAUGGCAGGGGAAGAAGAGAAAAAUAAAACCUCCGGUAAUUGUUAUGAAAACUCCAAAACUUCCCAAAAAGAAAACAGACGUUAGCGUUCAACCGUUCCAAAAAGCAUAUCCCUAAUCAAUAUACAAUCGAGUUAAAUAACACCAAAACUACAGUAAUAUACAAAAAAGGCACCAUCAUAAAGUAAGAGACAUCUCGGGCACCAGUUUGAUCAAUUUAAUAUGCAUUACCAAGCACCCCACUAUUUCCCCAAUUCAUGCCAAAGAGAAUUUAAAACCCCUACCGAUUGCUUCAGCUUUGACUUUCCAUAACCAUGCGACCCGCACCCUGUGAUAACCCUGAGGAAUUGAACCGCUGUACCAGAGCAGACAAGUAAAUAGACCAUACCUAAUAAAAUUGCAGAUCAAAAUUGUUCAAAGAGAAAGGUCGUACCCAGUGCACAAGGCUCCCGCUUUACGCAGGGUCUGGGAGAGGUGAAUGUCGGCUAGCCUUACCCCCAUUUAUGGAGAGGCUGCUCCCAAGUCUCGAACCCGAGACCUACCGCUCAUGGGCGAAGGCACUUGCCAUCGCACCAAGUGCGACC